UGACAUGGUGCCAACUGCAAUGUCUGAC
Molecule: non-coding RNA, 28 nt
Filed under: Rattus norvegicus (Norway rat)
Lineage: Eukaryota; Metazoa; Chordata; Mammalia; Rodentia; Muridae
Source: RNAcentral